This 319-nucleotide long non-coding RNA is filed under the name Anser cygnoides (Swan goose). RNAcentral's name for it is "lncRNA (ENSACDG00005011590.1)". Lineage: Eukaryota; Metazoa; Chordata; Aves; Anseriformes; Anatidae. The record is from RNAcentral.
UGGGGACAGUGUGGUGCUCUGGAAUCCCUGGAGACCAGGAGCAUGAAUGCAGGCAACUCCGAGCUGCCUAGGGGAGCAAGGACAUAAUUUGCCCUCAGAGUGUUAUUAUGGAAGUUUGUGUUCACUGAGCUUUUUAUACCCGCCUCACAAGAAGAAAGACCAAAGGGAAAAACUCAGCAUGGAGAGUGAGAAAGAACAACGUGAAGAAAGAAGAAAAACACCCGAGCAGGCUCAGAGGGACCAGAGACUGUACGAGAGCACCGUCACGUCAGACAACAUUGCACUGCUGCGUGGUCAGAGGUGCCGUGUGGCCCUGUGA